Molecule: transfer RNA, 65 nt
Filed under: Huananpotamon lichuanense
Lineage: Eukaryota; Metazoa; Arthropoda; Malacostraca; Decapoda; Potamidae
Description: tRNA-Glu
Source: RNAcentral
GUUUUUAUAGAGUGUAUUACAUUUUUUUUUUUUGUCGUUGGCUGAUGAUGAUGAUUCUAAAAACA